AACGCGAAGAACCUUACCUGGAUUCAAUCGACUUUGCACCGCCUGUAACGGGGCGUACCCGCAAGGGACAGAGUCGACGGUGCUGCAUGGCUGUCGUCAGCUCGUGCCGUGAGGUGUUGGGUUAAGUCCCCUAACGAGCGCAACCCCUGGCGCCGGUUACAUAUCCGGCGCAACUGCCUCGCAAAACGAGGAGGAAGGCGGGGAUGACGUCAAGUCAGCACGGCCCUUACGUCCAGGGCUACACACACGCUACAAUGGUCAGGACAAUGAGCUGCGACUCCGCGAGGGGAAGCUAAUCUCGCAAACCUGGCCUCAGUUCGGAUUGCAGGCUGCAACUCGCCUGCAUGAAGUCGGAGUUGCUAGUAAACGCUGGUCAGCAUACAGCGUUGAAUACGUUCCCGGGCCUUGUACACACCGCACUACUA
This 425-nucleotide ribosomal RNA is filed under the name uncultured bacterium. RNAcentral describes it as "bacterial SSU rRNA". It matches the Rfam family "Bacterial small subunit ribosomal RNA", at positions 958 to 1400 of the family's 1533-position model. The record is from RNAcentral.